CAUUUUUCCCACAAGCGCUGAAAAAUACUGGCUGUAGGUAAACUGGUUGGAGAACUGUGACCAAGUGACGUUAGAAGCUUCAUCUGAAUCUAAGUCAAAAUCCUGGCAUCAGCGGUAACCAAACCAAGAGACAUCGGGUAGGUGUUCAUCUGCUCUACAACACGACCACAGCCUUCACGGGGCUGCUUCGAACUUCGUAUCUAAAAGUAGAGGCUUGUGAGACGCUAGGCUGAUAAGAGGAACAAGAUUGGCUGUAGGCAACAACAAGUCUGGUUUAGCUGUCCUCGUGUUCCCUCACGUGUAACCUUUGAUGUACACUGUCGUGGAGAUUAUGUGAAGUAACUUAACAUGCCAGACCAUGUUGUAUAAAUAUUAAACAUCAAGACACUGCCUUGUAGAGAGUGACAUCAAUUGCUGGAAAGUUAAAAUACAGUCUACAAAAACAUCAGAGAUAUCUUUUCAAGUGAUAUAACUGUCAGCAGACUAUAUUGUGAUGUGAAAAUGUUUCAAAUCUACGUAUACAAACAUAAAUAGACAUUGUCAACUUUUGGAACUUCAGUAGAGGGAUUCAGCACAGAUCUGUUUAUUUGUGACUAUGGAUGACUAUAA
Molecule: long non-coding RNA, 609 nt
Organism: Physella acuta
Lineage: Eukaryota; Metazoa; Mollusca; Gastropoda; Physidae
Source: RefSeq, a predicted model, not a curated record